CCUACGGGUGGCAGCAGUCGAGAAUCAUUCACAAUGGGGGAAACCCUGAUGGUGCGACGCCGCGUGGGGGAAUGAAGGUCUUCGGAUUGUAAACCCCUGUCAUGUGGGGGCAAAUUAAAAAGAUAGUACCACAAGAGGAAGAGACGGCUAACUCUGUGCCAGCAGCCGCGGUAAUACAGAGGUCUCAAGCGUUGUUCGGAAUCACUGGGCGUAAAGCGUGCGAAGGCUGUUUGGUAAGUCGUAUGUGAAAGGCGCGGGCUCAACCGGCGGACGGCAUACGAUACUGGGAGACUAGAGUAAUGGAGGGGGAACUAGAAUUCUAGGUGUAGCAGUGAAAUGCGUAGAUAUCUAGAGGAAUACUCGUGGCGAAGGCAGCCUCCUAAACUGCCACUGACAUUCAUGUUCGAAAGCGUGGGUAUCAAACAGGAUUAGAUACCCUUGUAGUC
Molecule: ribosomal RNA, 446 nt
Filed under: uncultured bacterium
Lineage: Bacteria
Description: partial 16S ribosomal RNA
Rfam family: Bacterial small subunit ribosomal RNA
Source: RNAcentral